Molecule: ribosomal RNA, 300 nt
Filed under: uncultured Polaribacter sp.
Lineage: Bacteria; Pseudomonadati; Bacteroidota; Flavobacteriia; Flavobacteriales; Flavobacteriaceae
Description: bacterial SSU rRNA
Rfam family: Bacterial small subunit ribosomal RNA
Source: RNAcentral
CGCGUAUAGAAUCUACCUUUUACAGGGGGAGUAGCCUUUAGAAAUGAAGAUUAAUAUCCCAUAGUAUUGCGAAGUGGCAUCACUUUGUAAUUAAAGAUUUAUCGGUAAAAGAUGACUAUGCGUCCUAUUAGUUAGUUGGUAAGGUAACGGCUUACCAAGACUUCGAUAGGUAGGGGUCCUGAGAGGGAGAUCCCCCACACUGGUACUGAGACACGGACCGAGACUCCUACGGGAGGGCAGCAGUGAGGAAUAUUGGGCGAAUAGGAGGGUAACUCUGACCCACGCCACUGCCGCCGUGCA